UUCGAUUGUUAAUAAAGUUUUAAACAUAGAUUUCAUCCUCUUACACAUGUUUAUCUGACAUUCAAGUACUUAAAUUCGCAAUGCGCAUCAAUCCUUCAUUGGGUUUGAGUGGCGUUUGGAGCGGGGCGCAAACUUCGCCGGAGCGUUAAAGUCACGUGGUAUGGCUGCCGCCCGCUGAUGACGUCAGCCCAGCACAAUCCAAUGGUAUUGGAGCAUCGCAGAAGUGGGACGAUCAUGGCCGUGGUAACGGCUCCAGCGAACGUGCCACCUUCUUGGUUUUCAUAGUCUGCAGAGAAACGUUGAUACUACCUGGAUUGUCACAAGCAACACCACAAUACUGUUGCAAAUUGAGGGAGAUAAUUGGAGGACUGAGCACAGGCUGGAGGCAUGACCAUUUAAAAUAUGAUAAACUAAGGGCCUGACUGCCUAAGCCCUGUUGAAGAAUGAGAAUUUCUUGAUGCACCUAACCUACAGCGCUGUUAAGUGCAUGCAUUUGAGAGGUCAUUUUGGCCGUGUGGAGGAUCAGAGGGAUCUUGGGGUCCGAGUCCAUAGGACACUUAAGGCUGCUGCGCAGGUUGACUCUGUGGUUAAGAAGACAUACAGUGCGUUGGCCUUCAUCAACCAUGGGAUUGAGUUUAAGAACCGAGAGUUAUGCCUGUUCGGCAAUAGAACAAGAUGGAAACCCAACAGGAUGAAUUCAAAUACAGAAGGUCAGAAGAAAUGGACAUGAAAUUCAAGGUGAAUUGAAACACUGCAAUGAACUUUGAAGAAAGAACAAGGAAGCUAGCACGGUAAAUUUACUGGGACAGAAAUUUGAGAUUUCCAACUUCUAUGGAGCACGACCUCACACUUUGUUCUGAACAAUAUAAUGGCACCUCCAUCACUAAACCUUACUUCUACGACAGGGAAACAACCUGGACAAACUUGAAGUUCUGUGGAAAACUCUCAAGUCUCCCAAUAUGAAAAUCUAUGAUCUAGCUCUGAGUCCUGCCUAAAACACAGUGAUGAUGGUCUAACUCAUUCAGCAUGGUGAUGGAGUUUCACCUGCAACACCUGAUGGGUUUGGGAUUUGUUGUUCCUGCUGCCAUUUUCUGUUCGGGCGACCCAUUAGUUUUUUGUGUGAGGGAGAGGGUGGGGUGUCUGGGGUUUGAUGCUCUAGCUGCCAUUUUCUGCGUGGGCACUAUUAGUUUUUUGUGGCAGGAGGGGGUGGGGAGAGUUUGAGGCUUGUGAAUUUUGUUUCUUUUUAGUGCAUGGGGGGAGGGUUGAUGUUUUUUCUUUCAAUGGCUCCCAUAGUUUUUCUGUAUAUCAUGGCUAGCUGGAGAAGAUGAAUAUUAGAGCUGCAUUGUACAUGCAUGUUUUGAUGAUAAAAUGAACCUUUGAACUUUGCCAUUCACAUGAUGAGCUGCACUGAGUACUGUAUAAAUGACCUUGUGUAAGCUUCACACUAAUGCACCAUUGCUUCUGAAUUCAUUUUAUUUCAAACCCUGGAACAAAAUUAUCAAUUCAAAUAAUUCAUUAACUCGUAAUCAGAUCAAAGCUAAAGUUCCACCACAUGCAGCCAUGCAUAGUAGUGCAUCACUAAACAACUGCUGGGAGGAGAAGACUCCAAGAAGAUCCUCCAUGAUUGCAAUUUGAAUCACUCCACGAUAUCAAGAAACAGCUGUGAGCACUGGACGCAGCAAAGGUUAAGAACAACAAAAAAAAGUCCCAGCUGCAGUUCUGAAGAGCAGUGCUUGAGGUCUAGCUGUUCCCCUAACCAAGCUAUUCCAGCACUGUUACGACAUUUGUAUUUAAUCUACUUGAUGAUGUGGAAAAUUGACAAUAUGUGUUCUGUUCACAAAAAGCAGGACAAAACAAAUCUGGGUAAUUGCCAGUUGUCUGCUCUAUAUCAUCAGUGUAGUGAUGAAAGCUGUGGAUGACAGUACUAUCAAGCAGCACUUACUCACCCAUAACCCGUUCAUGGCUAGCUUCACCAGGCCCACCCAGGUCUGGACGUUAACAUGGUUCGUGGCCCACAGAGAAUUGCAGAGGGGAGGCAAGAUUAACUGUCCUUGAUAACAGGACACCAUUUGACUAAGUAUAGUAUCAAGCACUCUGUAAAAUGGAAGUCAAUCAGCUUGAAAGGGAAAUCACUCAAAUGGCUGAACUUGAAAUUCAAAGGAAGUAGUUUGUGAUUGCUGGUCAAUCAUCCCAAAUCCAGGCCAUCACCGUAGGAGUUUGUCAGGGCACUGUCCUAUACACAAACAUUUCAUUUCCAAAUGGUUCAAUAAUUGCUCAAAAGAACAUGAAGUCAUGUCCCACGCUGCUCAAGGCUAGCUUUCACUCCAUUGUUGUAAGACUAUUGAUGGUAGAGUAAGAUGGACUCUUGAACUCACCAUCUACCUGCACUGCACCUUCUCUGUAGCUGAGACACUUUAUUCUGCUUAGUACUACCUCAACGCACUGUACAAUCAAUUAAUCUGCAUGGCCUGUAUCCAAGAUAAACUUUUCAUUGUACUCAGUAAAUUCAUUAUAUUGAUUUAUAUCAUGAUUGGGGAAUUGAGUACUACAUGCAUCUGGCACAGAAGAAUUGAGGCCUGGGGAAAAUCACCCAUGAUCAUAAGGCACAGAAGAAGAAUUUAGGCCUUUCGGCCCAUCUAGUCCGCUCUGCCAUUCGAUCAUUGCUGAUAUGUUUCCCUUAUCCAUUCCAUUCUCCUGCCUUCUGCCCACAGCCUUUGAGACCCUGACUAAUUAUGAACUUAUCAACUCAUUAAAUAUACCCAAUACUUGAUCGCCACAGCAGCCUGCAGCAACGAAUUCCACAGAUUCACCAUCUAAAGAUCCUGCCUAAAGAAAUUCCUCCUCAUCUCUGUUCUAAAGGGACGUCCUUGUAUUCAGAAGCUGUGCCCCCUGGUCCUACACUCCCCAUUACUGGUAACACCCACUCUAACUUAGCCUUUCAAUAUUCAGUAGGCUUCAAUGAGAUUUCCCUACCUCCCAGCCUUCUAAACUUCAGAAGUGCAGACCCAGAGCCAUCAAACGCUCCUCAUAUAUUAACUCUUUCAUUUCCGGGAUCAUUCUUGUAACCUCCUCUGGACCCUCUCCAAUGCCAGCAGCACAUCCUUUCAUGCAAACAAGGCUCAAGACUGCUUGCAAAUGUGGCCUGACCAAUAUCUUGUAAAGCCUCAGCAUUACAUCCUUACUUUAAUAUCCUAAUUUAAUGGAAAUGAAUGCUAUAAUUGAAUUUGCCUUAAUACUACUGACUCAAUCUGCAAGAUAAUCCUUAGAGAGUUCGGUACUAAGAAUCCCAAGACCCUUUUGCAUCUAUUUCUGAAUUCACUCCUUGUUUGGAAAAUAGUCAACACCUUUAUUCCUUCUACCAAAGUCCAUGACCAUAUACUUCCCUACACUGUAUUCUGUUUGCUACUUUUUUGCCCAUUCCCCUAAUCUGUCCAAAUCCUUUUGCAGACUCCUUGCUUCCUCAAUGCUAUCUGCUCCUUCACCUAUCUUUAUAUCUUCUGCAAACUUGAUCACGAAGCCACCUAUUCCAUCAUCUGAUCAUUAACACAUAACAUGAAAAGUAGUGGAACCAACACAGAUCACUCCAGAACACUACUGAUCACCAGCAGCCGACCAGAAAAAAACCUUUUAUUCCCACUCUUUACCUUCUGGCAGGUAGUCGAUCUUCUGUCCAUGCUAGUAUCUUUCUUGUAAUACCAUAGGCUCUUAAGAAAACUACGCUUACUUCUGUCUAUUUUAAUGUUUGCCUCCAAGUACCCCGAAACCACAUCCUUAAUAAUUGGCUCUAAAUUUUGCCAACCUCUGGUCAGGCUAACUGGUCUUUUGCCUCCCUCCCUUCUUACAGAUUGGAGUGUCAUUUGCGAUUUUCCCGCCCUGCAGAAGCAUUCCAGAAUCUAUUGAUUUUCGAAUCUCUUUAUCUACUCUUCCUGUUCAGAGUCCAUCUAGUCCAGGAGACUACCUGCAGACCUUUCAGCUUCUCAAACACCUUCUCCUCAGUAAUAAGGAGUGACCCGUGAUGCUUUCAAAUUUCUGGCAUGCUACUGGUGUCUUCCACAAUGAAGACCGACACAAAACACAAUGGAUUCUGGUUAAUUGGGGCAACAGAUUAUUUGUAACAACUCUUAAAAAAUAAAGACCAAUUGGGAAAAUUGCCAUGAUUCCCAUCUUUUAUUUAGGAUACGAUGCCACUUCUGGGGAAGGUGAUUUUUGUCACUGAUAGUGGGCUAGAAAUAAGCAGUAAGACAAUUCAGAACUGUUUUGCUCACUGCAGUUUCAAGCACUCAGGCUUGGAGUUGCCAGAAACGACUGUGAGUGAAAAUGAAACAAUUUCACUACUUCACCUAUUUUCAAGAAAUUUCAGCUAAUUGGGGCAGCAACUUAAUUGGGCCAAAAUGUAUUGCCCCUGAUGUGCCCAAUUAACCAGAAUCUACUGCACUUAUUCAGUUUGUUUCCCAGUUCUUUGCUCCCCAUUACUAUCUCCAGCAUCAUUUUCCAGUGAUCCGGUCCACUCUUGCCUCCCUUUCGCUCUUUAUAUAUCUGAAAAAUACUUUUAUAUUAUUAGCUACCUUACCUUCAUAUUUCAUAUUUUCUCUCCGUAUUGCUUUUAAUUGCCUUCUGUUGGUUUUUAAAAUGUCCCCAAUCCUUUAGCUUCUUAUCUUUUGCUUUAAUACUGUCUUUGACUUCCAUUCACAACACGCUGGAGGAACUCAGCAGCUCAGGCAGCACGUCAGGACGAAGGGUUCCAGCCCGAAACGUCGACCGAUCUUUUCUACGGAUGCUGCCUGACCUGCUGAGUUCCUCCAGCGUGUUGUGAGUGUUGCUUUGACACCAGCAUCUGCAGAUUAUUUUGUGCUUUUGACUUCCAUUGUUAGCCACAGUUGCUUCAUCCUUCCUUUGGAAUGCUGUUUCUUCCUGCAUCUUCUGACUUACUCCCUGAAACUCCAACCACUGCUGCUCUAACGUCAUUCUUGCUAAAGUCUCCUGACAAUCAUCUUCGGCCAGCUCCUCUCUCAUGCCUCUGUUGUUAUUUACUCAACUGUAAUAAUGAUACAUUCAAUUUUAGCUUCAAUCCUCAAACUGCAAGGUGAAUUCCAUCAUAUGAUCUCUACCUACCAAGGGUUCUUUACCUUAAGCGCUCUAAUCAAAUCCAGUUCAGUGCACAACUCCCAAUCCUGAAUUGCCUUUUCCUUAGCAGGGUCAAGCACAAACUGCUCCAAAAAGCCACCUCAUAGGCAUUCUACAAAUUCCUUCUCUUGUGAUCCAGCACCAACCUGACUCUCCCAAUUAACCUGCAUAUUGAAACCCCCUGUAACCAUUAUAACAUUGCCCUUUUUACAUGCCUUUUCUAUCAACGAAACCUCCCUAUUCCCUUGCCCACCUGUCUGCCCAUUAGAGAUGACAAGCAUCCAGUAGGGAUCUUCCUUCAACCACAACUCCGCGAUGCCCAGUUCAAACAGCGCUACAAGAUCAUCUACAUUAUUUAGAACAUUGUGUGCAUUCAACACCUUCAGUCCUGUACUCUACAACAUCCUUCUCAGUUUUGUCACGUCACCUGAAGUUAAGUUCAUAUAUCCCUUUCUAAACCUAUUGUCUUAUUCUUUAUUCUUGAGACCUCUCCAGCACUCUCCUUUCUUUUACAUUAUCCACACUUUUCUGAGCUGUUGAAGCUACCACCCUACUAUUUAGCUUAAAGCUUUGUCUAGAGUCCUAGUUAUGUGAUUUGCCAGGACCCAGGUCCCAGCAAUGUUCAGGUAUAGUCCGUCCCAUUGGAACUGCCAUAAUAAUGGUGCCAAUGUCCCACGAAUUCAAAUCCAUUUCUCCCACACCAAUCUUUCAAUCACAUGUAUAAUUCUCUGAUCUUAUUAAUCCCAUGCCAACUUGCACACAGCUUAGGCAACAAUCCACAAAUUAUUACCUUUGUGGUACUGUGUUUUAAUUUAGUACCUUGCUGCUUCAAUUUCCUGAGCAAAAUCUCAUUCCUUAUUCUUUUUAUGGAUCACAAUAAAUGGAUCCUUUCCCCUCCCACUCCAGAUUCCUCUGCAGGUUAGAUGAGAGGACCCAACUCAGGCACCAAGCAGACAACACAGCCUUUGGAAAUGUGAAUCCUUGUGAUAGAGAAGUGUGCGUAUUCCCCCGACUAUACUGUCGCCAAUUACAACUACAUUUCUCCUCUGCCCCUCUUGAACCACAGAGCCACGGUUCAGUUGCCCAUCCUUCCUACUGCCCCCACUCUCAUUCUCACAGGAGGCAGCAAUCUCCAACCUGUCGGGCUGAGGCCUCUCCUGCACUACCUCCUGGAGCCCCACCCCACCACCUUUACUCAGUCACACCCUCUUGUCCCUAACCACAGAUCGAAUUGAAGCAGUUCAUCUAAUUUGUGUGACUGCCUCCUGAAACACAGUGUCCAGAUAACUCAACCUCCUCCCUGAUGCAUCACAGUGUUUGAAGUUCAGAUUCCAGGCCAUCAAUUUUGAGCCUGAGUUUAAAGUACAUAAAUGCCACCACAUCCAGCCCUGUGAUUCAUUUUCUUGUGGCCAAGAAACAUAAUAGAAUUGAUGUACGACCACACCCAACAGGACGGACAAACAACCAAUGUGCAAAGAGAACAAACUGUGUAAAGACAAAAGAAAGAAAUAAUAAUAAUAAAUAAGCAAUAAAUAUCAAGAACAGAAGGUCAAGAGUCCUUGAAAGUGAGUCCACAGGUUGUAGGAACAGUUGAGUGAUGGGGUGUGAAGUUAUCCCCACUGGUUCAAAGAGACUGACGGCUGAGUGGUAAUGCCUGUUCCUGAACCUGGAACUGAGAGUCCUGAGGCUCUGGUACCACCUUCCUGAUGGCAGCAGUUAAGAGAGAGCAUAACCUGGGUGGUGGGGGUCCUCGAUGAUGGAUGCUGCUUUCCUGUAACAGCGCUCAAUGGUGGGAAGGGCUUUACCCCGAUGGACUAGGCUGUACCUAUUACUUUUGAUAGAAUUUUCCAUUCAAGGGUAUUGAUCUUUCUGUAUAAACAAACAUUUGCUGCAGCUGUGGUCACUGGGAACCACAGUAAGGUUUACCAGUUUCCACGUCAUACAGAUACAAUAAGUUAUCUGAUCCUGCCCCAAUUUGGUAUCUUUUUUAGUUAACAACUAUUAAAAAACCUUACCUGCUCCUACCUGCUACAAGAUUGUGUCUUCUUGCUCUGAAGCCUCUCAAGCCAAAGCCUCAGACCCCUACACUGGUCCACGUACACAGCAGCCUAUCGAAAAAGGCCUCCGGGAUUUUGGUAUCUGUGCCUUCUUGCCUCAAGCCAAAGUUUCGGUUCCCCACUCUAACCCUGUACAGUCUGGCAAUGGUGGUCCCACAAUGGCUGCUCCACUUAAAACUCACUUCUUACUACUGGCCCAAAUGAAACUCUGAUGCAGUGAGAUUUGCUCUUUCUGUGACUCUCACUACUCCAAAGUGAAACUCACACGUAAUGAUCCUUGUUCUUUUCAUACUGACUGGCGGCACAACCUUGGUAGGUUUGAUUGGGGGGGGGGCAGAACAGCAAACUCCUGCCCCUAUAUUUUACUGUUCACGGAUUUGCCAUUGUUUAUUAUACAUCUUUAAUCAAUUUCCCAAACUACUCUUUUGUGCAUAAUUUAAUCUCGAGUCUAAUUUUUAUGAGGUGUCACUCAAAAUUCAAGAAAAAAAUCUCCCAUUUUUACUUUUCCUAGAGAGUCCAUCACACGUACUGUAUUUAUUAAUUAAUCCUGUUUCAUUAUGAGCAAGUGUGCACUGGUGCAACAGUGUGUUCACUGGUUUGGAUUCAUUAUAGAUUUACUACUCUGGGAACCUGUUCCACAUGUAUUCAACCGACGUUAUUCUAAAAAAAUAAUAAAUGAAAAU
This is a long non-coding RNA of Mobula hypostoma (lesser devil ray), 7864 nucleotides long. RefSeq lists it as uncharacterized. Lineage: Eukaryota; Metazoa; Chordata; Chondrichthyes; Myliobatiformes; Myliobatidae. The record is from RefSeq and is a predicted model, not a curated record. The transcript has 6 exons.